This 65-nucleotide transfer RNA is filed under the name Ochthebius plesiotypus. Its description in RNAcentral is "tRNA-Leu". The record is from RNAcentral. Lineage: Eukaryota; Metazoa; Arthropoda; Insecta; Coleoptera; Hydraenidae.
UCUAAUAUGGCAGAUUAGUGUGAUGGAUUUAAGCCCCAUUUAUAAAGUUUAUACUUUUUUUAGAA